UUUUCAUUUUGAACUUGUGUAUAAUAGUUGAUGUUCAUAUUUAUGUUCGAUUCCUAAUUUUGUUGUUCUGAAAAUGAAAAAUAACUACUUAAAAGUGUAAAAUUUUAUUAUUAAUAAACACAAAAAUAUGUGCUUGAUAUUCUAAUGUGCCAUUGCCAAUGAGAUAAGAUUUAGUUAAACACUCUAUAUUGAAUCGAUAAAUUUAGCACGAUACAGGUUAGGAGACGUGGUCGUGCCAACUCAAGAACUCAAGACAAUCCUCCAAUUUUGCCUUCACACGCUUCCUCCUGUUUUAUUUGGAGCAAUUGGAGAUGGCGACCCAAAAUAAUAACUAGCCAAGAUUCAGGAUUAUGUGCACUUCACUCCGCAGCGAAUUAGAGAAGUUUGAUCGACUAUGAGGCAACAUGGGAUUCUAGCAAGAGAAUAUCCAGGGUGCAUCAUUAUAAGAACUCAAAGAAGUCAUAUUUUGAGCUUGGGAUUAGGGGCCCUCUUUGCCUUCUCUCUUUACACACCGUCUUGGGUGGAAGAAUCAAAUUGAAAAACCUAUCUGCCAAAUUAAAGAAUGUUGGAUUCGAGAACAUAUAUACGGAGAAAACUUUGAAAGAUAGAGAGAUAAACCAAAAAAAAUCAAACAUGAGAAUCAAAUGGCUUACCAA
This is a non-coding RNA of Malus domestica (apple), 656 nucleotides long. NCBI's taxonomy places the organism in Eukaryota, Viridiplantae, Streptophyta, Magnoliopsida, Rosales, Rosaceae. The record is from RefSeq and is a predicted model, not a curated record.